Molecule: ribosomal RNA, 836 nt
Filed under: Microdochium phragmitis
Lineage: Eukaryota; Fungi; Ascomycota; Sordariomycetes; Xylariales; Microdochiaceae
Description: eukaryotic LSU rRNA
Rfam family: Eukaryotic large subunit ribosomal RNA
Source: RNAcentral
GGAAAAGAAACCAACAGGGAUUGCCCCAGUAACGGCGAGUGAAGCGGCAACAGCUCAAAUUUGAAAUCUGGCCUUCUGGUCCGAAUUGUAAUUUGUAGAGGAUGACUUUGGUUAGGUACCUUUCGAGUUCCUUGGAACAGGACGCCUUAGAGGGUGAGAGCCCCGUACGAUUGGAUGCCGAGCCUUUGUAAGUCUCCUUCGACGAGUCGAGUAGUUUGGGAAUGCUGCUCUAAAUGGGAGGUAAAUUUCUUCUAAAGCUAAAUACCGGCCAGAGACCGAUAGCGCACAAGUAGAGUGAUCGAAAGAUGAAAAGCACUUUGAAAAGAGGGUUAAAUAGUACGUGAAAUUGUUGAAAGGGAAGGGUUUAUGACCAGACCUUUGCGUUGGGAAUCAUCCGGUGUUCUCACCGGUGCACUUCCCUUCGUUGAGGCCAGCAUCAGUUUUGGUUGGGGGAUAAAGACAUUAGGAAUGUGAUUCCUCCGGGAAUGUUAUAGCCUUUUGUGUAAUACCCUGACCGGGACUGAGGACCGCGCUUCGGCUAGGAUGCUGGCAUAAUGGUCAUCAGCCACCCGUCUUGAAACACGGACCAAGGAGUCGAACAUUUAUGCGAGUGUUUGGGUGUUAAACCCUCACGCGUAAUUAAAGUGAACGGAGGUGAGAGCCCUUACGGGUGCAUCAUCGACCGAUCCUGAUGUCUUCGGAUGGAUUUGAGUAAGAGCAUAACUGUUCGGACCCGAAAGAUGGUGAACUAUGCGUGGAUAGGGUGAAGCCAGAGGAAACUCUGGUGGAGGCUCGCAGCGGUUCUGACGUGCAAAUCGAUCGUCAAAUCUGCGCAU